This 69-nucleotide transfer RNA is filed under the name Acanthosaura armata (armored pricklenape). RNAcentral's name for it is "tRNA-Ser (UCN)". It matches the Rfam family "tRNA". Rfam says of the family: Transfer RNA (tRNA) molecules are approximately 80 nucleotides in length. Their secondary structure includes four short double-helical elements and three loops (D, anti-codon, and T loops). Further hydrogen bonds mediate the characteristic L-shaped molecular structure. tRNAs have two regions of fundamental functional importance: the anti-codon, which is responsible for specific mRNA codon recognition, and the 3' end, to which the tRNAs corresponding amino acid is attached (by aminoacyl-tRNA synthetases). tRNAs cope with the degeneracy of the genetic code in two manners: having more than one tRNA (with a specific anti-codon) for a particular amino acid; and 'wobble' base-pairing, i.e. permitting non-standard base-pairing at the 3rd anti-codon position. The record is from RNAcentral. Lineage: Eukaryota; Metazoa; Chordata; Lepidosauria; Squamata; Agamidae.
AAGAAAGUUGCAAGUGGGUUGCGGUUGGUUUGAAGUCAAAAGAAGGAGGUUCGAUUCCUCCCUUUCUUU